GACGAACCGUGCGAACGUUAUUCGGAAUCACUGGGCUUAAAGCGCGUGUAGGCGGGGUCGCGCGUCGGACGCUGAAAUCCCCCCGGCUCAACCGGGGGAAGUGGCGCCGAUACGGCCGGCCUGGAGGGACGUAGGGGGGGGCUGGAACUUCCGGUGGAGCGGUGAAAUGCGUUGAGAUCGGAAGGAACGCCCGUGGCGAAAGCGAAGCCCCCUGGACGUCUACUGACGCUGAGAGCGAAAAGCCAGGGGGAGCGAACGGGG
This 261-nucleotide ribosomal RNA is filed under the name uncultured bacterium. RNAcentral's name for it is "partial 16S ribosomal RNA". It matches the Rfam family "Bacterial small subunit ribosomal RNA", at positions 524 to 777 of the family's 1533-position model. The record is from RNAcentral.